AACGAACGCUGGCGGCAGGCUUAACACAUGCAAGUCGAGCGGGGGAAGGUAGCUUGCUACCGGACCUAGCGGCGGACGGGUGAGUAAUGCUUAGGAAUCUGCCUAUUAGUGGGGGACAACAUCUCGAAAGGGAUGCUAAUACCGCAUACGUCCUACGGGAGAAAGCAGGGGAUCUUCGGACCUUGCGCUAAUAGAUGAGCCUAAGUCGGAUUAGCUAGUUGGUGGGGUAAAGGCCUACCAAGGCGACGAUCUGUAGCGGGUCUGAGAGGAUGAUCCGCCACACUGGGACUGAGAUACGGCCCAGACUCCUACGGGAGGCAGCAGUGGGGAAUAUUGGACAAUGGGGGGAACCCUGAUCCAGCCAUGCCGCGUGUGUGAAGAAGGCCUUAUGGUUGUAAAGCACUUUAAGCGAGGAGGAGGCUACUCUAGUUAAUACCUAGGGAUAGUGGACGUUACUCGCAGAAUAAGCACCGGCUAACUCUGUGCCAGCAGCCGCGGUAA
RNAcentral lists this ribosomal RNA (501 nucleotides) under uncultured bacterium. Its description in RNAcentral is "partial 16S ribosomal RNA". It matches the Rfam family "Bacterial small subunit ribosomal RNA", at positions 29 to 523 of the family's 1533-position model. The record is from RNAcentral.